UACGUAGGGAGCGAGCGUUGUUCGGAGUUACUGGGCGUAAAGGGUGCGUAGGCGGGUUUUUAAGUCAGGGGUGAAAUCCUGGAGCUCAACUCCAGAACUGCCUUUGAUACUGAAGAUCUCGAGUCCGGGAGAGGUGAGUGGAACUGCGAGUGUAGAGGUGAAAUUCGUAGAUAUUCGCAAGAACACCAGUGGCGAAGGCGGCUCACUGGCCCGGUACUGACGCUGAGGUGCGAAAGCGUGGGGAGCAAACAGG
RNAcentral lists this ribosomal RNA (253 nucleotides) under uncultured bacterium. Its description in RNAcentral is "partial 16S ribosomal RNA". It matches the Rfam family "Bacterial small subunit ribosomal RNA", at positions 524 to 776 of the family's 1533-position model. The record is from RNAcentral.